CCGCCCAUAGCUCAGUCCGGUAGAGCACCUGCCUUUUAAGCAGAGGGUCGUAGGUUCGAAUCCUACUGGGCGGACCC
This 77-nucleotide transfer RNA is filed under the name Candidatus Zambryskibacteria bacterium RIFCSPHIGHO2_01_FULL_43_25. RNAcentral describes it as "tRNA-Lys". It matches the Rfam family "tRNA". From Rfam's summary of the family: Transfer RNA (tRNA) molecules are approximately 80 nucleotides in length. Their secondary structure includes four short double-helical elements and three loops (D, anti-codon, and T loops). RNAcentral also lists the same sequence under 2 other names. Lineage: Bacteria; Candidatus Zambryskiibacteriota. The record is from RNAcentral.